Molecule: non-coding RNA, 58 nt
Organism: Cellulomonas sp. 73-92
Lineage: Bacteria; Bacillati; Actinomycetota; Actinomycetes; Micrococcales; Cellulomonadaceae
Source: Rfam
CGGGUUCGGCCUUCACAACGGAUCGUCCGGCACGUACCUGCCGGUGAAGGGGAGUACA